Non-coding RNA from Flexistipes sinusarabici DSM 4947, 185 nucleotides. It matches the Rfam family "6S / SsrS RNA". From Rfam's summary of the family: E. coli 6S RNA was the first non coding RNA to be sequenced, but its function was unknown until recently. NCBI's taxonomy places the organism in Bacteria, Pseudomonadati, Deferribacterota, Deferribacteres, Deferribacterales, Flexistipitaceae. The record is from Rfam.
UAGCCCCUGCGGUGCCCGUGAAAGUGUAGAAAAUUUGGAGCCAACACCUCUAAAAAAGGGGAAUUGAUACUGGCUGCCGUGUGCAAGCCCGCCUUUGAGCGGGAAGCCUAACGCAGCCGUGAUUUUCCCCACCUGGUUAGCCAGGGCUGCAAAUGGACUGCACGCACGGCACAUGCGGGGGCUUU